GGUAAAAUGGCUGAGGAACAGGCAAUAAAUUGUAAAUUUAUUUACGAAUAAAAAUUCUUUUACCA
Molecule: transfer RNA, 65 nt
Filed under: Aphthona euphorbiae
Lineage: Eukaryota; Metazoa; Arthropoda; Insecta; Coleoptera; Chrysomelidae
Description: tRNA-Tyr
Source: RNAcentral